This 429-nucleotide ribosomal RNA is filed under the name Actinomycetes bacterium. Its description in RNAcentral is "Actinobacteria bacterium partial 16S ribosomal RNA". It matches the Rfam family "Bacterial small subunit ribosomal RNA", at positions 355 to 776 of the family's 1533-position model. Lineage: Bacteria; Bacillati; Actinomycetota; Actinomycetes. The record is from RNAcentral.
UAGGGAAUCUUCCGCAAUGGGCGAAAGCCUGACGGAGCAACGCCGCGUGAGUGAUGAAGGUCUUCGGAUCGUAAACCUCUGUUAUUAGGGAAGAACAAAUGUGUAAGUAACUAUGCACGUCUUGACGGUACCUAAUCAGAAAGCCACGGCUAACUACGUGCCAGCAGCCGCGGUAAUACGUAGGUGGCAAGCGUUAUCCGGAAUUAUUGGGCGUAAAGCGCGCGUAGGCGGUUUUUUAAGUCUGAUGUGAAAGCCCACGGCUCAACCGUGGAAGGUCAUUGGAAACUGGAAAACUUGAGUGGAGAAGAGGAAAGUGGAAUUCCAUGUGUGGCGGUGAAAUGCGCAGAGGUAUGGAGGAACACCAGUGGCGAAGGCGACUUUCUGGUCUGUAACUGACGCUGAUGUGCGAAAGCGUGGGGAUCAAACAGG